AAAAAAACAAACCAUGGAUUUCCGUAUCUAAUGUUUGACCGUCCGUCUUAUUUGAAAAAAUUAUGAAAAAAAUUAAAAAGAUAAGUCACGCAUAAAGUAUUAAUCAUAUUUUAUCAUCUAACAACAGAAAAUACUAAUUAUAAAAUUUUAUAUAAGACGCACAGUCAAACGUUGGACACGGAAACUCAGGGUUUGUCUUUUU
Oryza rufipogon (brownbeard rice) is the source of this 202-nucleotide microRNA precursor. It matches the Rfam family "MIR812 microRNA precursor family". NCBI's taxonomy places the organism in Eukaryota, Viridiplantae, Streptophyta, Magnoliopsida, Poales, Poaceae. The record is from Rfam.